Long non-coding RNA from Cyprinus carpio (common carp), 363 nucleotides. Lineage: Eukaryota; Metazoa; Chordata; Actinopteri; Cypriniformes; Cyprinidae. The record is from Ensembl.
GACAGGGCCUCAUUGUUUACAUGAGGGCACCAGGGUUGAACUGACGUGUGCAUUCAUCUUUAAUGUUCACGCUCAAAAUAUGAACCUGCGAGGACUGUGUUGACAGACACACACCUACCUUCUCACUCACUCGCUUUCUUUCUUUUUUUCCUCUCUUUUGCUUCACACUUGCAUUGCCGUGCUGCCGGGUUGGACUGAGGGAUUACAGGCGUCUGCUGGUUGGAAGAAGUGGAAAGACAUGAUAAAUAGAGAAAGACAGGUCUGAACAAGUCAACUCAGCGGAGAAGCACAGAUGCUGCUGCCCUCUAGUCUAGUUUGGUGAAAAUGAGGAAACAAACGGCAGAUGAGAAUCUCAUUCUGUUU